This 41-nucleotide ribosomal RNA is filed under the name Cercospora canescens. RNAcentral describes it as "partial 18S ribosomal RNA". The record is from RNAcentral. Lineage: Eukaryota; Fungi; Ascomycota; Dothideomycetes; Mycosphaerellales; Mycosphaerellaceae.
AUCGUACAACUUCCGUUAGGGGGACCUGCGGAGGGAUCAUU